RNAcentral lists this long non-coding RNA (24719 nucleotides) under Brassica napus (rape). RNAcentral's name for it is "long non-coding RNA (BNAP_LNC022130)". Lineage: Eukaryota; Viridiplantae; Streptophyta; Magnoliopsida; Brassicales; Brassicaceae. The record is from RNAcentral.
ACAAAUACACAUUUUCUCUUCUCUUCUUUGAUCUUUUCCUCUCUUCUACACAUUCAAAUGGCCACUGCUGAUGUAUGCAUACAUAUGUUCUUAAUUUUUUUCAAACCCAUUUCUCAUUAGUCUAAAGUUUGAUUAGCGAUCCAGUUCUAGAUUCAAUGUUUUUCACUUGUCUUAAUCCACUUAGAUGCUUAAGUUUACACAAUAUAUACAUGAUCCACAACAUGAGAAAAUAUUAUAUAUUCUGUAACUAUACCAAACAAAAACCUCAUGCAGUUUUGAAUUGAUCUUAUAUGUGACAAUGGUUUUGCAGGUUGAACAAGUGACUCCAGCCGCAGCUGAGCACGUCGAGAUGACACCACCAAAGACAGUAGAGCCUGAGGAAACAGUCGCCGUUGUGACUGAGUCUGCUCCAGCUCCGGUAACAGAAACUGAAGCUCCCGUGGAAGAAACAGAGGAAACCAAAACCGAGACGAAAGAGGAAGAAGCUCCCGUCGAAGUAACCACUAAAGACCUCCCCGUGGAAGAAACAGAGGAGACCAAAACAGAAACUGAAGAGUUCAAGAAAGAGGAAGAAGCUCCCGUGGAAGUAACCACUAAAGACCUCCCCGUCGAAGAAACAGAGGAAAUCAAGACAGAGGCGGAGGAGAUCAAGAAAGAGGAAGAAGCUCCGGUUGUGGAGGAAGAGAGCAAAGCAGAGGAAGUCGUAGAGCCUAAGAAAGAGGAAGAAGCUCCGGUGGUUGUGGAGGAAGAGAGCAAAACAGAGGAAGUCGUAGAGCCCAAGAAAGUGGAGGAAGAAGUGAAGACAGAGGAUACUCCAGCUGUUGUGGAGGAAAAGAAGAAGCCAGAAGCAGAGGAGGAGAACCCCACUGAAGUAGCAGCCGAGGAAGCCGCCGCAGCUCCGGUGGGAGUUGCCGUGGAGAAGGCUGAUGAGUAAAUCUGAAAGAAAGAAGUUUGCUACUUUAUAAGUACGUUGCGUCUUUGCUUUGUUGUUCUGAGUCUGUCACUCUUGGUGGCCCCUUUUGCAUCAUCUCCCUCUCUUUAUUCCUACUUUCAAUGUUUAAUAUAAUGAAUCCUCUUUAAAUAAACGAAACUCAUCUCUUGCUCACUACAAUACAAGUAACCGUUUGGUCCUAGAAUCAUCACUUAGAACUAAUAUCUAAGAUUCAUAUCUAAGCAAAAAAAAAACUUACAAAAAAGUUUCAGAAGCUUCUAUCUUUAUGUUCUUGUCUCUCCAGCGAAUAUACCCAUCAACUCAGCCACAAGCUCCUCAUCAUCAUCAUCAUCAUCAUGUUUCCUCACAUACCUUUUCAAGAAAUCCUGAUCUGUACAUACCAAAACAGUUGACACUGGAGGGAGUUCACUUUUGAUCAACCCUUUGGCAAUAAGAGCUUUGAUUACAUUACACCUAGGUACCAUCCUCUUCUCCAUGCUGUAUCCAAGCACCUGAGGGUACGAAGCCACAGCCUUUAGUGGCCAACCCAUCUCCUUCACAACAAACUCGAUCUUCUUCUUCACCGUCUCCACAGAAUACCCAAUGCACGGAGGAAGACGCUUGACCAUCAUAGCAACAUCCUCUCUGCUGAAACCUAAGCCUAUGAAUGUCUCAACAGAGUUCAAUAUAUUCUUCUCUGAAACACCAAUGCACUGAGGAAACCUCUUCACCACUAACCGGACCUCGUCUUCCAAUAGUCCACACUUUCUCAUGGUCUCGAAGUUCAGAGUUAUCUUCCUCUCAGAGAGUGUCAAGAAAGUCGGAAACUUCUUGAACAUUACCCAUAUAUCUUCCACAGCAAACCCUAAACGCUUAUAGACGUUCACUUUCUCCUCCAUUGCUUCCUUGUUCAGCCCCUUGACAACUCUCAGAGCUUCAAGAAACUUAGGCGUAGUUGGAUCAAAACCCAUCUCAAGAACCUUCUUGAGAGACUCCUGAAACGUCUCUUUCCCACAGAUAUGUGGGCACUCUGAGAUUAGCAAAGGGAACAGCAACCUCUGAGGCACACCAAUACCUCUCAAAGCCAACACAUUUCUGAUUUUAUUCUCCUGUUUACCCCUCUGUGGGGAUAAAGUUUCCAACUUUGAGCUCUUAUCCGCUUCCAUGACCUCUUUGACGAAGUCGUAGUACACGCUUAAAGACCUGUCCUUUGACAAGAUCUUUGGAACUUUCGAGAUGGUUUCAGUUAGCUCUGAGGCUGAAGAUACUUUUGAAUGUAAAGCUUGAAGCUUUGGAGCAAGAGACUUGUCAGCAUCUAGUGUAAGGAGCAGUGGGUAAUCUGUAAUGAUGGUGGAGAUUUGAGAAUCUGUGAAGCCGUGAGUUCUCAAGAGAUUCAGAACUGAAUCAGGGUUACACUUGUUGUUGAAGCUGACUUUCUUUGAGAUUGAUUCUGCAAGUUUUGGGGUGAAACCCAGUGAAUCAACGAGGUAAGAGACUGUAAAGUUCUGACCUUUGCGAGCAGCAGAGGAGAAGGGAGUGAGAUUCAGUGAGAGUCUACAUUUCUGCAACCUUCUUCCACGGAGAAUCAGAGAAUACAUGACAGAAACAGAGCAAAUGUUUGUUGUAAGUUUUUACUUGAUAAACCCUAAUCUCUCGUAUACGACGAUUAAGAACAUGGAUGGGCCUUGUGAAAGAACCUAUCUGCUAAUGACAGAUGAGAUGAGUCCUUCCUAGCAAAGCAAUAAGACCAUGUCCAACGGCGGAUUUCACCCGGUCCAUAAGACAAAUCCUUAAACAUAAUUGUAAUUAAAUACUAUUAUUAGCGAUAAAUCGACGAAGGAUUGGUCCGUCGCAGCGGACUUAAGGAUUCAAUCCUUAGCAACGUGUCACGUGGUGAGUGGGUCGAUUUUGUCUUUGGUUUGUGUAGGGUCAAAAAAAAAAAUCAUUCUCGAGCCAAACUGAAAAAAAAAUUUCUUCUCGAGAGAAAGGCGAUUUCGAGACGAUUUUGCUCGAUCUCUCUUCCUCGGCUUGUGUAAGGUAAAUCGAAGCUUUAACUCGUAGAUUUAUCGAUUAGAGAUCACUCUCCAUCUUGUUUGUUCUGUAUUAAGGGUUUGGUUCUCGGAUUUCGACCGAUUUGAGAAAAUUUUCAAAUUAGGGUUUCAAAAAUAUUUGGGGAUAAAUCGAUUUCAGGAUUCUUUGGGGGUUUAGAUAGGGUUUCGAAACGUUUUUGGUUUCGAAAACCUUUGGUAUCUCCACGGUUAUAAAAAAAAAAAACAAUCCGAUUCUUUUGUCAAUUUGAGACUUUGGUUGCUUGUGUUUUACUGCUUUGUUUCUUGUCGAGAUUAGCCUUUGGUCACAGUAUUUGGGAGAGUUAACCUUCGUUUGAUACAUUGUUAGAAACUUCUUGUUCACACAAAAAAAACGCCACAGAUAUCAAACAGAGAUCGGUGUUGCUCAGAAUUUAUGAGAUGAAUUAAUUGGUGUUUGUGGACCAUUGUAUAAUUUCAAUAUGUCACAUCUUGAUCUGAAAAUUAUUACUGAAUUAUAUCAUACUAGUUAGUUAUUAUAAAAGUUAAUAAUACUUUAAGAAUAAAAUGAGAAAACUUCUUAUUUGAAUUCAGAUUUGAAUAGUAAUUUGUUUAUUUAGUAUGGUUAUUGAUAUGAUUCUGAUGAUGAUAAGGCACUCUGUUAAGACUAGUAUUAAUAUGCUAUUCUAUUUUAGUUAGUUCUAUUGAGCAAUUUGUUGUGGCCGGAAUCACGAACAUAUGUAAUCUGCAUUCUGAAAUUAUUUAAGCAGUAUUGGAAUCAGUUUAUGUUGUAAACCAUACUUUAUGUUUAGCUUUCUAACAACAUCUCCAAAAGACACUUUAUAACUUCAAAUAUGGAGUUUUUUGCUCUCCAAAAAGAAACUUCAAAACUUCAAAUUUGAAGUUUCAAGGAGUGAAACUCUAUAUUAAAGUUUCACUACUCAAAAUUUCAAACUUUUAUUUGCAUUUUAGUCCAUACAAUCACACAUCACCUUUAUGAUCCAUAAAUAUUUUUUUGUUUAUUGUUUUAAUCCUUAAAAAAUUAUAUCUCAUAAAUAUUUUAAAUUUUGUUUACAGAAUUUAAAUUUUACACAUAAAAUUAAAUAAAACUUUAAAAUAAGAUUUAAAAUAUUUUAACUAGGAAAACAAUAAUAUACAAAAGAAACUUAACAAAAAAUAUUUUAAAAAAUUAGAUGAAGACAUAACUAUUACACAAAUUUAAAUAUUACAACAACACUAGUAGCCAGGUAAGUUUGAUCCGGAACCUUCAAAAUUUUCAAAUAUUAUUACUUUUUUUUGUGCAACCGAAGAUGAUUGUUGUUGUUGUUUUUGAUGUCUUUUUCGUACAAUUUUUUUUUGUUCAUAUCCAAUAUAUUCAUGAGUAUUAAUAUCAUCGAAAAAAAUUAAGUAUUUUAGCAAUAUUUUAUGUUUCUAUUUUACUUUCUUGUUCUUAUCUAAUAUAUUUACAAGUAUCAAUAUCACCCAAUUUCAACAAAGUAAAAAUGAGGAGAGUCAUUUUUACUUCGAAAUACACUAAUAUAUCAUAUAUGCAUUACGAAAAUCAUUUAUGGAAUAAUAUGGUAUUUUGCUUGAAGUUUAAUAUUAAUUAAGUUAUUUUUAUUUAAAUUUUUAUAUUUUAUAGAAUAUUUCAUUAAUUAAUAUUGUUGUGAUAUGUUUAUAUAUGUGCUAGUUAUUUAUAAAAAUUUUAUGAAUUCAAAUUAGUUAUGACAAAUAUAAGGACCAUAUUAUAAAAUACAAAUAGUUUUGAAGUUGAGUUUGAAGUUUUGCUUUUGGAGAAUAAUAGCUUUAAACUUCAAAUAUAGAAUUUUAGAAACUUCAAAAUAGAGUUUCUUUUUAGAGAUGCUCUAAGGGUCAACAUCACUAUCAUGUUUUUUUAGAACCAAAAAAAAAAAACAUUACAGUGAUGCUGGCCCUUAGAAAGGUAAACACAAAGUAUGGUUUACAACAUAAACUGAUUCCAAUACUGCUUAAAUAAUUUCAGAAUGCAGAUUACAUAUGUUCGUGAUUCCAAUACUGCAUCACUAUCAUGUAUAUUGUGUACCUAUUCUGUAGUAUUUAGUUUGGGUCAACUAAUGUUGGAGUUGUACCAUUCCGAUGUUGCAUUGCUAAAUACAUGAUCGUUCUUUUCUGAUGAUGUUACUCUAUUUUCUGAUGAUAAAUCUAAUAAUGUGACAAUAUGUAGUUAAAAAUUGAAAUUUAUGAUGUUGGUGCAAACACUUGAACACUUCUUUUGUGCGGUAUCAGACCUAUUGAUUUUUUUUAGCUCAUAUAAGUUCUAAUUUCAGUGCAGGCGACAAAUAGAAAGAAUAACACUUAGCUGAUGUUUAAAGUCAAUAAUUUAAUCGUAACGGGAGACGUGGUAACUUUCUUAGUGUGUUGGAAUCAUUUUUAUUUGUCAUUUUUGUUUUAUGAGAUUUUAACAUUUUAGUAUUUUAUAGUUUUUUGGUGUCUAAUUUUCUUAUAGAAUUUUUUGGGCGUUACAAAGAAAAACACUUUUUGUUGAAAAUUAAUAUUUGCAUUGAUUUCUAGUAACUUCUUUUGAACUCAUUUAUUAUUUCAUUUUAUAUUAAAUCCAUUCACAUCACCUAACUCUAACUCUAACUCUAACUCUAAUUCAACCAAUGCAUUUUAGAACUCUAAUUCAACCAAUACAUUUUAGAGUGAAGAAAAAAACAAAAAGACUAUUUUCUUUAUUUAUUUUUUACAAUCAAAAUGUCAAAAUAAUUUCUCAAUCUUUGUUGAUAUUGAAUAACAUCCACAUCGGAUAACUAAAGUAAUUUGUUCUUUGCGAAUAGUAUUCGGAGUACAAUCAAGAAUUGUGGAGAAAUACUUCAAUGCAUGUAUCUUUUGUAUAAUCAUAACUUUCAUCUCAGUAACCAAUAUUUCAAUAAUUUCAUGGGGUUUUUGCCAAAACUAAUCCACAACUUGAUUUUAAUCCCAAACAUAUACCCAAACUUGAAUCAAAUGCGAAACUAACCUAAAAGCCUAGUGAAAUUACAGUUCAACCUCUUGUGACCAAACAAAAAAACAAAAGCCAUUUUUACGAAUAUAGCCCCAGUAAAUCGUCCGAGUCGUCUGAGAUGUUAGAAGUCGUCUGGACGACUGAAGUGUAAGUCGUCUGGUACCAGCUUAUUUUAAAAAUAAUUUAUAAAUCUUGUAAAAAAAUAUUUUGAUGCGUGAAAAAUAAAAAUCAAGUAAUUAUAAACAGUUUUAAGUGAUAUAAAUUAAGAUAUGAUAAAAUUGAUUUGUUUUGAAGAUAGAUGAGUGGAAGUAGUGAAUCAUGAAAUACUUUGGUUUAGGAGUUUGGCAAACAUAUGUUGUAGUAUUGUAUGUAUUGUUAGGGUUAGAUUUUGGAAAACUAAAAUGUUUUUUUCAAAAAUUAGUUUUCACCUAUAUGUGUUUAUUUCUGUGUAUAAUAAACACUUUUCAAGUUUGAUUUGGUUUUAUGAAGUGUUUAACUAGAUAAUUAAGUUUAGGGGUUAUGUUUAGGGUGUGGACGACUUAUAUUUCAGUCGUCUGUUGAAUAAUUUACCCGGACGACGCAUAUUUCAGUCGUCCACAUCGUACCGAACCUUUAAUUUUACCAAUGUACGUUUUAACCUAACCGAAUCAUUUUACUCGGACGACUUACAUUUCAGUCGUCUGGUGAAGAAAUUAAAAUAGACGACUUAUAAUUCAGUCGCCCAAAUAUUCCCGAAUAAAUUUUUUUUUUAAAAUUAUUUUCCCGCUUGAAUAAUUUAAACCAGACGAAGUCUUCUAUUUUACUUUCCCGCUAAAAAUAUUUAAUUUCCCACUAAAAAUAUUAAACUCUUCUGGACGACUUACAUGUAAGUCGUCUGUUUUAAUUUCUUCAACAGACGACUGAAAUGUAAGUCGUCUAGGAAGUCGUCUGAGUCAAAAAUAUUUAACCUAAUUGGAUUUUUUGUCUCCCUCUAUAAAGAAAAAUUUACACAUUCUCUCUCCUCCUCUCAAAUGGCUGCAACAAAAAUGUAAUGUUCAUCAUUUUAAAACUCUCCAACCUCUCUCUAAUCUCUUUGACUUGAAAACACCAAACUUUAUAUGAAUUUUUCAGUUUUGUCUCAUGUAUUUCUUACUGAUCUAUCUCUUUUGUAGGUUUUUAAUCAAAUGGUACUCAUCUUCCACUAAUUUAAAGGGAGAUCUAUUAAUUUUAGAUAUGUAUUUUUGUGUGUUCUAUAAAUGUAGAUUUAUCUAAUCUUCCACUCAUUUUCUCUAUUUUUAAGUCAUUUGAACGUUUUUGGAUAUGCAGGUUUUUCAGAUCUGGAUUUGAUAUGCAGGUUUUUCAGAUCUGGAAGACUUCUGAGACGACUUACUUGUUAGUCGUCUGGAAGUCGUCUGGAAGUCGUCUAGACUUCUUGGAAGUCUUCUGACAAAGUCGUCUGGACUUCCAGGAAAUCGUCUGGAUUUUUCUGAGCGUUUUGGUAAGUUCUUAUGUCUGAUUUUUCUUCAUUUGGUAACUUCUUGUUGUAUAAAGUUCUUACUUUUUUCCCAAAAUAAAACUCUCCAAACCCACUCUAAUCUCUUUGACUUGAAAACACCAAAACUUUAUAUGAAUUUUCAGUUUUGUCUCAUGUCUUUCUUACUAAUCUAUCUUUUUUACAGGUUUUUAAUUAGAUGGUACUCAUCUUCCACUAAUUUAAAGGUAGAUCUAUUAUUUUUAGAUAUGUAUUUUUGUGUGUUCUGUAAAGGUAGAUUUAUCUAGUCUUCCACUCAUUUUUUCUGUUUUUAAGCCAUUUGAACGUUUUUGAAUAUGCAGGUUUUUAAGAUCUGAAUUUAAUAUGCAGGUUUUUCAGAUCUGGAAGACUUCUGGGACGACUUACUUGUUAGUCGUCUGGAAGUCAUCUGGAAGUCGUCUGGAAGUCGUCUGAAAGUCGUCUGAAAGUCGUCUGGACUUCCUAUAAAGUCGUCUGGAAGUCGUCUGAACUUCCUAAAAGUCUUCUGACAAAGUCGUCUGGACUCCCAAGCUUGUCUACUCAAGUGGAAUCCAAGCUUGUCUUUGUAGAGGAAUGAUCUAUAAUAGUUUUGUUUGUGGUCUGUUUUGUGAAUUGCAUGUCUACUCUUUUAGUUGUGAAUUUUUUGUAAAAUCAGUAAUAAUGUUUUCCAAGAUGUAUUAAAUGUGCUAACAAUGUGUUUACAUAUUUACAAACCAAUGAAAUAAUAGACUUCAGUAGCCUUUUUCUUAUCUUUGGAUCUCUCAUAUGCAAUAAUAAACUCCAAUGGCCUUUUCUCAUCUUAAUAAACACGAAUGUUGGUAGCUUCAUAUUGAUACAACAUUUUAAGAAGCAUUUAACCCUUCUUCCAACUCAUAACAAUAGUCAUCAUUAUUGUCUAUAACAAUAAUACUUAAGAGAUGGAAACAAACAAUAGUAACUAGUCAAAGCAUAUCAUAUUUUUUUAUAAGUUUGCGUUGAAAAACUUAGUCAAAUUUAGUAAAACUAAGGGAGAGAACAUAUUUUGUAAAUAUGAGUUUUACAUAUCUUGAAGUUACUUAUCACUCUUAAAAAUACAAGUUAUUCAAAAACUAACGUAAAAGACUAAAAACUAGCGGAGAAGACGCGGACGACUUCAAUCUAAGUUGUCCAGACGACUAAACUAUACGUCGUCUGGUCAACGCAGAUGUUAUUUUUGCAAUUGACUUUGAAAUCUGUUAUUUCGGAUGACUGAAAAAUAAGUCGUCUACUAUUGUUUGGUUAAAAAAAAACUCCAAAAAAGCUAGACGACUUACAUUUCAGUCGUCAUAGGCUAGUUUUGCAUUUGACUGGAUUAUUUCAGAAGUUUGACUUUUCUGGAUGACUUACAUUUCAGUCGUCUAGUGAAAAUUAAAAUAAUAAUAUUUUUUUAAAAGUAGACGACUUACAGUUAAGUCGUCAUAGGUUAGUUUUGCAAUUGAAAAAAAAAACUUCAAAAUUUAAUUAUAUACAGACGACUUAUAAUUCAGUCGUCCAUGAGACGACUGAAAUGUAAGUCGUCCAGGAUUUACGAGGUUUGACCAGAAUCUCGGAAAAAAAUCCUCGACGACUUACAAGUAAGUCGUCUGUGUAUAAUUAAAUCUUGAAGUUUUUUUUUUCAAUUGCAAAACUAACCUAUGACUACUUAAUUGUAAGUCGUUUACUUUAAAAAAAAUAUUAUUAAUUUAAUUUUCGACAGAAGACUGAAAUGUAAGUCGUCUGGGGAAGUCAAACUUCUGUAAUUAUCCAGUCAAAUGCAAAAAUAACCUAUGACGACAUAAAUGUAAGUCGUCUAGGUUCUUUGGAAAUUUUUUUGAAACCAAACAAUAGUAGACGACUUAACUUUCAGUCGUCUCAGGUUACAGAUUUCAAAGUCAAUUGCAAAAAUAACAUUUCCGUUGACCAGAUGACCUCCAGGUAAGUCGUCUACAGCCAGACGACUUCCCAAGUAAGUCGUCUGACGAACAGAUCUGGAAAAAAACUCGAUGUCAUACCUUAAAUGUGUGAGAUAAGUUCCUUAGCAUACAUAAGGCUUCUCCAAGCACACAGAAUCACAAACGAUAGUCACCCACCCAGAAUCGUUAGCUUCUAUGACUCUAUGAACCAUAAAAAUUUUAGAAUCAAAAUCUUGGGUUUUUUUAGCUCAUUGUGGAGAGAAAGUGAGAGAUAUGUUUUGUUUAGUUCACAAGAAUGGAAAAAAAAGAAGGGUAAAUCGAUUUUGGGAGCAUUAAGAGCUUCAAAUUGGUUGUUCAUGGUGGUUGUGGUAUUGAUGACAAUGGCAAUCUUGUAAUUAUUUGAAGAUGAUGAGGGUGAGAGAGUAAAGAUGUCAUUUUCGAAAAAAAAAAAAUUGAUGGCAUUUUCGUAAAUUAUAUGAACAUGUGGGGUGAAUAGGGCAAAACCAAUUUUCAAAAAAAAAGGAGGUUAGUUUUGUGUUUGACUUUAAGUUGUAGGUCAAUUUUGCAAAAAUCCCUAAUUUCAUUCUGAAUUUUAUGAAUAAUAAAGAUAAUGCACAUAGAAUUUUUUUUUCAAUUCUUCUAAUAUAUAUGCUUACUAAUCAUUGCAUCAAACUCCUAAAUCAUCUCAAUAAAACCCAAAAUAUAAUUUUGAAUCUCUAGAAAUGAAGAAUUAUAAAAAUAUUUUUUCUUAAUAGCUUUAGAAACUACUCAAAACUAAAGCUUUCAGGGUUUUUCUUAGAUCUUUUAUGGAACAACUUCUAUGAGACCUAUAUUUAUACGAAAAACAAUUCACUUUAACAUGUGAGAUAUGAAAACAUAACCCUAACUUAAAUAAAAAACUUUUUUUUCCACUUCUAGAUUUCCUAAUUGUGUUUAUCUCUUAAUAUAUUAAACAUCUAAUAAUAUGUUAAGUUCUUACAAGCAUGAAAUUAUCCAACAUUCACCCCCUUAAUUCCAACUUGAAUUAGAGAGAUCAAUUUCUUAAACUUCGAUUAAGCUUCUCAUUUGCUUGAACUUAAUCCUUGCUAAUGGCUUGGUAAGGAUGCCGGCCUUCUGCUCAACACCCGACGCAUGCUCCACUUCGAUUUGUCCAUUAUCCACACACUGACGAAUGAAAAGAUAUCUUGAGAGUAUGUGCUCACUCCUUCCAUGGAAAAUCAGAUUAUUUGUUAGAGCAAUGGCUGAUUUGUUAUCGAUCAUAAGCUUGACUAUCUCGCCUUCUUCACUUAGUAUCUCACACAACAACUUUUUAAUCCAUAUAGCUUUCUUUGCUGCUUCUAUUUCCGCCAUGAACUCUGCUUCGCAUGAUGACAAUGCGACUAACUGCUGCUUCUGCGACAUCCAAGUAACCAAUAAUGAAGCAUAAUAGAAUUCAUGUCCAGACGUGUUCCUCUCGUCAUCGACAUCAAUAUUGUGGCUGACACUAUAGGAAAUGUGGGUAUUAAUAGCGGGUGUUAAACACUAUUAGUUCGUUUUAAUAGCGUUUCCUAAAACGCUCUGACAGCGCUCGUUAUCGUAGGUUCGACCUUUUUGAUAACGGAUCUUUCGAAUGCUAUAGUUAAAUAAACAACGAUAGCAAAUGUUUCGUGUUAUUAAUUUGUUUUUAAUUAACCAAAAAAUUAUUAAAAAUAAUUACCAAACCAAAACUCAUUAUUAAAUAAUUAAAAAUUAAAAAAAAAAUUAUUUCAUAAUUAAAAAUUAAAUUUUAUUUAUUAAUUAAAAUCAAUAUACAAAGAAUUGGUUUACAACUAAUAUCAGUUUAUUUAUUAACAUUGAUUUACACACAAACCUGACUUAUUAAAUUAACCAUAUCUAAACCAAACCUAAUAAACCAACCAAAACUAAACCUAAUCUACGCCGCUGCUUUCCUCCCAUCGUGUGUCAUGUCGCCACCGUCGUCCUCUUCCAUCUUCUUCAUCUUCCUUACGUCUCUGUCUUCUCCCUCUUUCUCUUUUUCUUCUUCUUGCUCGGCUCCAUCUCCACCAGCACAGCUUCUUCAUAUUCGGCUUCUUCCUGUAACAAGAACAAACAAAUCAAAAAUUAAAUUCCAAACACAGAGAGAGAACAAUGACUAUUGAAUAUGGACUGCAUCAGACACACCGUUCAAUGUUGUGACACUACGAGAACAAGAAUAACCACAAGCCCCAUUAUCAAUUCCACUUCCUCUUCCCCGUCCCUGAAGCCAAAUCCCCAUUUAAUCAAGUUACAAUCUUGUCAAACAACAUUAAUCAUUCAAAAAUCUCAAAACAAAACAAGGAACAUAUAACAAACCUGAGAUACGGUUGGUGUUAACUAAGACCAUGAAUAUGCAUCUGGAAAAGAAGAAGCUUUUAGAAGAGGAUAGAUAAAAAGAGCGGUUGAGACAGAGUUCAUUGGCGGAGGUAGAGAACGAGGAGGUGGAGAUAAAGAUGAUGGUCGCAGAGACGGAGGUAGAGAACGAGGAGAUAGAGAUGGCGGCGUCGGAGGUUAUGGUGAUGGUGGUUGUGAAAGAUUUUUUUUAUGGGGUGAUUUUGUGUAAGGAUGAAGAAGCUAGACAGAAAAAAAAAAGAGAAUACGGAGGAUAGGAGGAUAGGAGAAUAGGAGGGUAGGAAGAAACGCAUUUUCAGUUUGUUCAUUAUUGGCCGUUGGAUUUAGUUUAAUAUUUGGAAUUAAAUUUUUAAAAGGUUAAAACUCGAAUAUAUUUAAACUUAAGAUUUAAGAUUAAAAUAAGAAAAUAUCUAAGUUUUAGGGUUGAUUUUUAAGUUUAGGGUAUAGGAUUUAGGUUUUAGGGUUUUAAGGUUUAGGUUUUUUGGAGGGUUGAGAAAGAAAAUAGAAUGAGAGGGAAGAUGAAAAAACGAAGAUGAGAGGGAAAAUGAAAAAAAUUAGACACCAUGUUUUUUAAAUAAGUAUCUGGCGGCAAAAAUGAUUUUUUUUGCCUCAAUGUAUGAUAGCGCUUAAUUUUGGAUCUGCAAUGGUAAGGCACCUACACUUAACUAAUUAACGCGGCUAAAUUUUUUUAUUUUCCCGCGAUAGCAAUUAUAGCGUUUUAAAUUGACAAACGCUAUAAAAAAAAUAAGUGUUGGUAUACAAUAGCAGAACUGUCAUAAACGCUAUAAUUUGAUGCUAUUAAUACCCACAUUUCCUGUAGUGUGAUGUCACUAUAACCAAUGACGCUCCUUGUCCAAUCUCUCUUGAAAAACGAAGUUUGUUGUUCCUUUCACAUAACGUAAUAUGUGCUUGAUCGCUUGUCCAUGAGAGUCUCUCGGAUUGUGCAUGUAUCUACUAAGAACGCCAACUGCGUAACACAAAUCAGGUAUUGUGCGAAGCAUAUACCUCAAACAUCCUAUAAUUUUUCUGAACUCUGUAACAUCUAUCUCUCAUUCAUCUUCACCUUUUGAGAUCUUUAAAUUCGACUCCAUUGGAACUUGAGUCGCGUUACACGUUUUCAUUUUUGUGUCACACAGUAUUCCUUGAGCAUGUCUUUCUUUUUUUAUUCUAAUUUCAUGUGCUCCUUAAAUAACUUUAAUGCCAAGGUAGUACGUUAGUUUACCUAGAUCUGACAUCUCAAACUUCUUUAACAUAUCUUCCUUGAAAUGUUUAAUCACCUUAAGCAAAGUUUCCGUCACAAUGGAUCAUCAACGUAAAUGGCUAUGAUCAAAACGUCUCCUCCUUCACUCUUGCAGUACACUGAUGGUUCCUUCGUGCACUUCUUAAAUCUCAUCUCCUUCUGAACCUAAUCGAGUUUCACAUUCUAUGCUCUGGGUGUCUGGCGUAACCCAUACAAAGCCUUGUGUAACACAUAAACUCGAUCCUCUUCUCCUUUCUUUUCAAAAGCUUCGGUUGAGUUACAUACAUUAACUCCUUUAGAUCUCCAUUCAAGAAAGCGGUCUUCACAUCCAUGUGAUGUAUCUCCCAACCAUUUGUUGCUGCGAGGGAUAUUAAUAGCGUAUAGUUUCGAGACGUGUCACUGGUGCAAACAAUUCAUCGAAAUAUAUUCCUUGUCUUUGUAUACAGCCUUUGCCACAAGUCUCACCUUAUACUUGUUCACCGUACCAUCUGUCUUUCUCUUUGUCUUGUAGAUCCAAUUUAGCCAUAUAGAUUUCACUUCGGUCGGUCUAUCCACAAGCUCCCAUGUCUUGUUUCUUGUGAUAGACUCCAACUCAGCCACCAUUGCUUCAACCCAUUCUCGUUCAUUUUCAGCCUCAAGAUAGUUAUGUGGCUCGCCAUCCACUGUGAGCAACAAUAUUUCACUGUAUUGAUCUGUAAGUAACAUAUAAUCAUCGAGAUAUCUUGUUUUUGUUAUGGUGCGGCCGUGUCUAGUCACCAAUGGUUGUCCACCACCGUCUUGGUUUACAUUGUGAUCAGUAUCUUCUUCUUCUUCAUCUUGGUUUUUAGAUUUUUAUUCAUGAUAAUCACGUUGAUCAUUACCUUCUUCUAUAUCACCCUCAUGUGCAAGCUUAAGCAUACUUGGUUCACAAUCAGCUUGGUUUGUGUAGACAUGCAAUCCCAAGAUUUCUUCUCAUCAAAAAUCACAUCUCUACUCACCAUCACCUUUCUUGCGACUGGAUCAUAGAGUCUAUAUAGUAUUUGGAACCCGACUCAGUUCCAAGAUUGAUCAUACUCUUUGAUCUCUCAUCCAACUUCUUCAGAUAAGGUCUAGUGAUUUUCGCAUGAGCUACACAACCGAAUAUCCUCAAGUGCUCUAUAUUUGGUUUCUUUGAUGUGAGGCACUCUUAUGGCGUUUGAUCAUUCAAGGCUUCUAUAGGAACUUUAUUGAUGAGCUAAGUUGAAUGUCUUACCGCUUCUCCCCACAAGGAGUUUGGCAUCUUCAUUGCUUUAAUCAUACUUCUUGUCAUUCCCAUUAAGGUUCGGUUUCUCCUCUCCACAACACCGUUUUGUUGAGGUGUGUAAGGCGCAGUAAGGUGCAUUUUAACUCCAUUCCCUUCACAUAAUAGAUUGAACUCAGCUAAGGUAAACUCUUCUCCUCUAUCAGUGCGAAAAGUUUUAAUUGUUGACCCAGUUUGCUUCUAUACACUCUCCUUAAACCUUUUGAAUCUAUCGAAUACCUCACUCUUCUCCUUUAAUAAUAUAACCCACAUAUACCUUGAGAAAUCAUUGAUUAAGACAAAGACAUACUUACUAUUUGCUGGCAUUGGUGGGGUGAUUUGUCCACACAAAUCUCCAUGCAAUAAUUCUAAUGGCUUUGUCGCAGGUAACAUGGCCUUAGUCGGGAAUGAGUGUCUAAUUUGCUUCCCUGCUAGACAUGCGUUACACACGCUUUCUUUGUGUGUUACGCUCAGCGUUCCUACGACGAUCUCCUUUCUUACUAUGUUGUUCAUCACUCCAAAUCUUAUAUGUCCUAGUUGAACAUGCCACCUCCAUGUAGCAUCUUCAUCUCUGACAUGUAAACAUUAUGGAUAGAUGUCGUAAACUUGUAACACAUACUAGCAACCUUCCAUACGAAUAUGUGAGUGUUAAAUAAAUGUCUUUCAUCUUAACCUUACAUCCGUUUUUUGUUGUUUGUCCAAGACUCAAUAUAUUAUACUUCAGAUCGGGUAUGUAAUAUAUGUAUUUUAGUGCCUUCAUCUGUCCAGUGUUGCACACAAAGGUAACAACCCCUUUUCCUACAAUAUCAACACACGAUCCAUCACCAAACUUCACAUUCCCUUUGGUGUUUAUAUUCAGACUCGAAAAGAACUUCUUUUUCUCGUCAUGUGAUUGCUCGCUCCAUUAUCCAUAUACCAAACACUUGCAUUGACUUUGUUGAAAUCAAGAUUCUUUGGAAUUACCUUGUAUUCAUUCAAGAACACAACCUCAUGUAUAUAGAGGGCAUCAGCCUCUUGUGUCUCGUUUAGGUUGGUUUCUUGAUUCAUCAUUAACUUCUCGGGGCAGACAGUUUCAUAGUGACAUCUCCAACAUAUCACAUUUGAACAAUCCUUCUUCGAGUUUUUUUCUUCUUAUGUUUUUGAAUAAUGACGAGCAAAGUCGAGGUAAGUCACACAACCAAAACCAUGUGUCACAUACCGAAUAAUGACCAGCAACAAGGAAAGGCAUUAAAAUCUGAAAUGUAGGUUAAAUUGAAAACUAUACAGAAAACUGAGACUCUUCUCAGUCAUCACCACCAAAAUGAUACUUGAAACAUGUUAUGUAAGAAACAAGGCAACACAUUAGUCACAUAGAUUCCUUGAUUUAUUUUAUUUUUAGUGAAGUUAGCUAUCAACUCACCAACUCUUUAUGAUCAGGCCGACUUAUGGAAUGUGUCCAAGGUGCAUUUUGUUAAGAAUCUUAAUUAUUUUUCAAAAAAUUAGGGUCUACAAAAUCUAAUAAAAAUAAUUUUGUCAAAGUCCAAUAAAAGCUUGAGCCGGGCCUGCUUAUUAUCAUGCUUACAUCCAAAACUAGACCAGAUUUGUGGGAGUUCACUUCUCAGCAUGCCUUUGAGAUGAGAGUUUUAAUUGGGUUACACCUUGGGACAAUACUCUUUUCUCCAGGAUGUAUACAAGUACUGCAAGGUUUGAAACCACAACCGGCCAAUUCAUCUUCUUCAUAAGAAACUCAGUCUCUUCUUAACCUAUCGGAGAUUUUGCAAUGUACUCAGAAAGGGACAUGUGGUCAAUUACAAACCCAUUUCUGGUGAAUUCUAGGCCUAGAAAUGUUUCAGUGGAGUUGGCUAUUGUCAUCACAAACUCAUCUUUGCUCUAGAAAGCAAACGCGUUUUCAAAAAGGUUCAAAUGAUGUCAUCUAUGUAACUCGAUGACAGGUCUUCUUCAUGAAAUCUAUAAUAUAAUGAGCCAGUUGAGUCUUUCCUGAGGUGACACGUCAGCAUGUUUGUGGGACCCACGCCUUCUUUAAAAAAAAAGACUUCUGUUAUGGGCUUCGUCUAUUAUUGCGUGGGCUUCACUGGCCCGUGGGUAGUGACUAUUAUUGGUUUAUGGGCCCCACAUUUUAUUGGUUUGGUUUGGUAUGUAGCAAAUUCCGUUUGGUUCUCCGUGUUUGGUUUUAUGUGUAGCCCCUUCAGUUCCGUAUGGUUUAUGAAUUUGGUAUCAGCCUCAUAAAGAAUGUUUUGUUAUCCUUCGCCACUCUUCUUCAACCUCUAAACUCUGUUUGCAAACACAAAGUUUUUUUUCUAUCACGAUGUUAAGUAGUAGAGACCACCCCCUCCCUCCGCUUCCUUCCCUCCUUCCUCCAACGACGACCUCGAGAGCAUCUCCGCUCGGGGAGCCAAUUCCGAGUCAGACCCCGAGGAAUCAGAGGACGCCGUCGUGGACGACGACGAGGAAGACUUCGCUCCCGAACCUGAUCAGGACUCUUCGAUCCGCACAUUCACCGCCGCUAGGCUCGAUCCAAGCUCAGGAGCCAACGGUUCGAGUCGGAACACUAAGAUUAAGACGGAGAUCUCGACGGUGAAGCUUGAGGCUGGGACUGGGACAGCUGGCGUGAGCUCGGUAUCGGGGAUUGUGCCCAAGGAUGAGUCAGCUAAGAUAUCGACGGAUGAUGAUGUACAGAACUGCGGGGCGUACAUUGCAAGAGAAGAGGCUUUGAGAAGAGAGGUGUAGCUUUUAUCACUUUAUGCUUUUAUCAUUGUUUUAUAGUAAAGUUUUUUUUUUUAACUUUGGCCAUAUCUGUGUUUAGGAAGCAGCUAAUCGGCUCAAGUUUGUAUGUUACUCUAAUGAUUGCGUUGAUGAGCAUAUGAUGUGGUAUCUUCCUUCUCUCAAUCCCUUACAGAAAUUUAAGAAUCUAUUUCAGAGGAUUUUGUCUGAAUGAUUUUGUUCCAGCUUGAUUGGGUUGAAGAACAUAUUUGCAAGACAGCUACCUAAUAUGCCAAAGGAGUACAUUGUUCGCCUUCUCAUGGAUAGGUAUAAAGAAGUUUUCUUUUGCUUUAGUUCUUGCAAGAGCUAUUCCUUGUUGUAACUUGUAAGCAAUCUGAUAUCUGCAACUUAUGCUGUUUACACAGGAAACAUAAGUCUGUCAUGGUCGUAAGACCUCCGGCAGGUGGUAAUGGUAUCACUCAUGUUGUUGGUGGUAUCACGUAUCGUCCAUAUCACAGGUAAGGCCAACUUCGCGUUACUAUUCUCAACAUUCUUACAGUUACAACAAUGAUUCUCUUAUUAGUUAAGAUAUUCCUUGGAACUAUUCAAUACGCUCCUCACUCAAGACUGAAAGCAAGUAGUAUAUUGACUUAGUAGUUUCUUAUUUUUUAAUGUGUGUUGCUCUUCUAAUCAAGUCUUCUGUAAAUGUAUAAUGUGUGUUGUUGAUAAUAAAGAAGAUAUAUAAUUUCAUAAGUAGCGUCAUUACAGUCUUGGCAUGCUUAUUAACUUCACUGUUUUAACUGGGGGAUUCAGUCAGAGGUUUGGAGAAAUAGCAUUUUGUGCAAUCACCGCAGAUGAACAAGUUAAAGGUUACGGUACCAGAUUGAUGAACCACUUGAAAGAACAUGCACGCAAUGUCGAUGGAUUGACGCAUUUUCUUACUUAUGCUGACAACAAUGCUGUUGGUUAUUUUGUCAAGCAGGUUGGUCUAUUUUCAUAUUCUCUGCAAUAUUUGACUCUGCUCUUUUUCAGUUUUUUUUUAAUUUUCCUGUAAUAUUUGGUUGUUUAGUUGUAUUUGUUAGCUCAUCCAGAGCUCUGAGCCGCUCUGUAUACACUCUCAUUAGGGGUUCUAUUUACAAAAUAUUCCUGUUGUUAAAACAACUUCUCUAAAUCUUUUGUCUUAGUUCGUCUUUAUUGUCAUCUGCUUUAGAUAAACAUUUAUUCUCAUUCGUAUCUCUUCAAAAACAAUGUUUCCACUGUUUGCAUGCUUAAUUUUUGUGUGCACAAUCAUAUGAUGAUUUAGGGUUUCUACUAACAAAAUGUUCCUUUUGGUAGAACAACUUCUCUGCUUCUGUCUUAGUUCGUCUUUAUUAACAUCUGGUUUAGAUAGACAUUUAUUAUCAUUUGUAUUCUCUUUAAAAAAUUAUGUUUCCACUCUUUGCUAUCUAGUCUACUCUCCCUGGGGCACUAAAGUUCUGUAGUUUCGCCUUUUCUUAUAGUUGUUCACUAAUUUAAUAUGUUCCGUCUAUUUUUCUUGUGCAGGGUUUUACUAAAGAGAUUUACUUGGAGAAAGAUGUAUGGCAUGGGUAUGUAAGCAAUGUUCAAACUGCUCAUUGCCGUACUCAACAUCUGUGCUUUUUAUGAUUGAUAUCUGAAUGGAAUAUUUGUGGUCUCAGUUAAACUAACAAACCUCAGAAUAAAAUCAUUCUAUUUCCUUGCUGAUCAUUGCUUAUCAGAGAGAUGCCGAAACCAGAAUUUGGCUUUACAUUCUUGUCUACAUCUUUUAACCUACUCUUGCAAAUAAAAAGCUUUGUAUUUUCCCAGGUUCAUUAAAGACUAUGAUGGUGGCCUCCUUAUGGAAUGCAAAAUUGAUCCAAAGCUUCCAUAUACAAAUUUGUCAAAGAUGAUUCGUCAGCAAAGAAAAGUAAGCCAUGAAUAUACUUCACCUCUGAUGAAAUCAUUUCUUGAGCCUUCAAGUUGGUGAUUAAACCCUCAAGUCCAUCAGAUUCUGAUCCCCGUUGUGCUAUUUAUAAUGCCAGGCAAUUGAUGAAAGGAUAAGAGAGUUAUCGAACUGUCAGAAUGUGUAUCAAGUAGCUGAAUUUCAAAAGGUAAACAUCAAAAGUUGCGUGUCUUUUGUUACUAUUACUGCAUGUCACAGCAAAAGAAGAAAAAAAACAUGUUUCUAAUAGUAUAAUAAAUGUGAUAAUUUCUGCAGAAAGAAGGUGGAAGUCCUAAAGAAUAUACUUCACCUCUGAUGAAAUCAUUUCUUGAGCCUUCAAGUUGGUGAUUAAACCCUCAAGUCCAUCAGAUUCUGAUCCCCGUUGUGCUAUUUAUAAUGCCAGGCAAUUGAUGAAAGGAUAAGAGAGUUAUCGAACUGUCAGAAUGUGUAUCAAGUAGCUGAAUUUCAAAAGGUAAACAUCAAAAGUUGCGUGUCUUUUGUUACUAUUACUGCAUGUCACAGCAAAAGAAGAAAAAAAACAUGUUUCUAAUAGUAUAAUAAAUGUGAUAAUUUCUGCAGAAAGAAGGUGGAAGUCCUAAAAAGAUCAGAGUUGAGGAUAUUCCUGGCUUAAGUAAGUCAUGAUUCUACUCCAUGGUCUUACUGCAGUUUGUGCUAGUGGCUGCAUUGGUUAGCUAUGAAGUUUGUGUUAAUGUGUAAUACUGAAAUUUUGCUUUAAGAAAACAGAUUUGUCUCCCUUGAAUUUGCUUCUUAGGAUUAAUAUAGCUUCCUGAAUUGGCAAUAAAAAUGCGAAGGUUUUAAUCUGUAAGAGUUUUAUUCACGGUGGUCGGUGUGUAAAUAUAGAAUUUUGAAUUUUUUUACAGGGGACGCAGGUUGGACCCCAGAUCAGUGGGGGCACACGCGUUACAAAUUAUUCAGUGGUUCUGGAGAUAGUGUAACAAAGCAAAAGCAGUUGAACGCACUUAUUCGCGUGCUUCUGAAGGUUGUUAUAAGUCUUCUUCACUUAAAUGCUUUAUACGUUAUUGCAGUUACAUGCUCUUUAGUUUGACAAGCUGAAGUAACUGGCAACAGACAAUGCAAGACCAUUCUGAUGCUUGGCCUUUUAAAGAGCCAGUUGAUCCACUCGAUGUUCCUGAUUACUAUGAAAUCAUUAAAGAUCCCAUUGGUAAGAAUACAGUUGGGUUGAACACUGAAUUAUUUUGUUAUCCGUUUGUUGUUGUUCCUUGAAAGCAUUAUAGUCUCUACAAAGAAAUUUAAUCGCUGACGAAUGAAUGCAACUUAAUCAAAAGAUGGUUUCUUUAUAUAGGAGAACGACCUAUUGUUUGUUCUGUUAGUUUAAAUAGAUUUGAUUGAAAUUAUUUGUUAAUAAGGUAACUGCUCGUUUAAGUACAAAUAUGUUAUAAACUUUGGUAUGAACACAGAUCUGAAGACAAUUGGGAAGAGAGUAGAGUCAGAACAGUACUACGUGACGCUUGACAUGUUUGUGGCUGAUGCGAGGAGGAUGUUUAACAAUUGUAGAACUUACAACUCCCCAGAUACCAUUUACUACAAAUGUGCAACCAGGUAUUAACUUCUCUUUAUUUCUCCCUUUCAGUUCCUCUAUUAUGAAAAGAAAGUGAUUUUAAUCUGUUGUUUUCUCUUGAAAAGGUUGGAAACACACUUUCAUAGCAAAGUACAAGCAGCUCUACAGUCNNNNNNNNNNNNNNNNNNNNNNNNNNNNNNNNNNNNNNNNNNNNNNNNNNNNNNNNNNNNNNNNNNNNNNNNNNNNNNNNNNNNNNNNNNNNNNNNNNNNAAUAAAGUCAUCAAUUCUAGUUAUUUAAUUAAUAAAAAUUAACUAAUUCAAAUAGAUUUCAUAUAUUUUAAUUUUCUUAUAAAUGUAUAUAUUUUCUUUUAGUUACAACAAAUCAUAUAAAAUGUUUUUAUUGUUUAUUUUCAACCAAUUAAAUAUGUAAAAAUUCUUAAAAUAUAUAAAUUAAUAUUUUGUUAAAUAUUAAAUCAAAAAACGAAAAUAAGAAAAUCUGUAUAAUAUCUUGUAAUUAAAUAAGUUAAUAUACUGAUUAAUAUUUUAGAUUAUGAACAAAAUAACAUUUAUUUAUGUUUUCAAAUAAACUUAUUUAAAAAGUAAAUAGUAUAAUUUUAAUUAAUAUUAAUAAAUUGAGUUUAUGAAAUGAAAAUUUUAAAAGUUAAAAAUUAAAAAUUAAAUUAAUCUAACUUGAUCAUAAAUAUUAAAAAUAUUUUCAAAUAAUGUUACAAUUGUGGAUUUUCUGCUUGUGAAUUUUUACAGAAAACAAAAUAAUAGCAAUAAAUAUAUCAAAGAAGUGUGUGUUAUUAAGCCCUAAAAAGGUGCGAUUAAGAUAUAUUCUCUUCGUUUCAAAAUAUUACAUAUUUUAGAUUUUUCACAUAUUUUAAUAAAAUACACUAAACCUGCAUAAUUUUUUGUUCUUUUCUUUUUCCAUAAUUUAAGCCAAUAAAAAUCUAAUAGUUGCAAUUAAAUUUUUUGAAGUUUGCAAAUAACUAAUACAACAUGUAUUAGAAUGCAAAAAAUAAAAUUUUUUGAAUAAAAUUUUUCUUUAGAAUAUACUCCAUUCGUUCGCGAAAGUAAGAUUUUUUAGAGUUUAUCCUUAUUCCACAAAAAUAGAUUUUCUAUAUUUUUAAGGUACUUUUGUAUAUUUUUUAGGAACAUUAAUUGUGAAUAUUUUAAUUGAUUAAAUCUUAUUGGUGAAUAGUUAUCGGUAAGUGUAUUGAAAAAUAAAUUGUAAACUAAAUUAUAAAUAUUUAUUAUAUUCUUAAUAAACAUGAAAACUCUAUAAAAUCUUACUUUCGGGAACGGAUGGAGUAUAGCUUUAUGAAAUGGAAGUACUACGAAGUGAACAUAAACCAAAGUUUUAAACGGCAACUAAAGGCGAAGAUAAAUCAUCGACUCAUCAUCAUACAAUGUGGGAUUGCUAACAAAAAGAAAGGUGUUUUAAUUUUUCUUUUCAACCAUCACCGAAAAAAAGGAUAAUUAUAUUAAUUUCCUUAUUAUUUUUUCAAACCCUAAGUGAAUUAAAAAUAUUAUAUCUACAUCAAUGUCCCUUUAUAAUUAAGCCGAACAUCAACAUUUCCAACUCCCUCCUCCCAAGAAAAAGUGUGGAAGAUGAUGAACUCUUCUCUUCUAACUCCUUCAUCUUCAUCCCAUGUCCAAACUCCAACGACGACCUUUGACCAUGAAGAUUUCCUCGACCAAAUCUUUGCUUCCUCCCCUUGGCCCUCCGACGAAGCUCAUCCUCCUCCUCCUCCGCCUCCGUCCUCAGAUGGUUUUGUCGACUCUAGGCAUCAACAGAUCAUGAUGAUGCCUUUACCGUCUCAUCAUCAAAACGAGGUCGUUGAUGGCUCCUCCGUCCACUCUCUUUACAAUGGCUUCUCCGCCGGCGGAUCUCUUCCUUUCCACAUCCCUCAGGUAUAAAACCUAACAAUCUCUCCCUAAGUUUUUGAUAUUGAUGGGUGUUUAAAAUCUAGUUUUAUGAUCAACUUCAGGGAACGGUAGGUGGAAUGAUGAAUCAACAAGGACAAGCCCUAACGCAAAAGCAAACUCAACCGCAAGUGAGUGCGUCUAUAGCUACUGGUGGUACGGCGGCGGCUCCACCCCAGAGUAGGACUAAAGUCAGAGCUAGGAGAGGCCAAGCAACGGAUCCUCACAGUAUUGCCGAACGGGUCUGAUUUUUUUCUUUCUGAAUUAUUAUUCGAAAUGUUUUUCGUUGCAUUAACUCGUAUCAGUUACCGAGAAAGGUGUGGAAAUUAUUUUAUUUUUUUAGAAGAAAAGCUUUAAACUUUUUGAACUAUUUUCUGAAAAAGUGAUUUUAUGGGGCAGUUACGACGAGAGAGAAUUGCGGAGAGAAUGAAAGGUCUUCAAGAACUCGUUCCUAACGGCAAUAAGGUAUUUUAUCGAAUUCAUUUUCAGUUUAUUUUCCAAAUAAAACGGAUCAUUAAACUUUAUACUUAUAAAUCAACACUCUGAAUAUAUAUGAUCCAAUAUCAUUUGUUGACCAUAAGAUAAUAUAAAACAUAUAUCUAUACAGUCCAUAAUAAUCCAUUGUCUAUAUAAAUUCGACCGGAGUGAAAAUUAAAUGUCAAAUAUAAAAUAAACUAUACGAGAGCGAGAUUUUCUCAUUUUUCACUGUAAUUUAUAUCUGAUAGAAAUAUUUUGGGUUUAAAUGUUUAAAUAUAUCUGUAGAACUUGUCCAUCUAGAUUAUUAUUUUACAAACUAAAUUUGAUUUAAUAUAUAAGUUAACUGAAAAAAAUAGUUUCUUGUGCGAUCCACUUCAGUAGUCUGAUCAGGAAUUGUGGAGUUGUUCACGUCUUCAAUUAGAUUGUUUAACAUGUCAACUAGAUUAUUUUCAUAGGUUAAGAUUUAUUGACCAAAACUCAAGAGUUGAUAAGUAAAAUUUCAUACUUUUUGUUUUACUCAUAUAAUGGUGGUUGAUUAGUCUCUCUAUAUAAAACUAUCAAUCAAAUCAUUAAACACUGAUUAGCUAAUUAAUUGCGCUACAAUAAUAAAGUUAACUAAUGCAGUAAUUAAUGGGUUGGGAUCUCAGUUCUGACAGAUUGUUUUUUGUAUAUUUAUUUAUAUAAUAAUUAACAGACAGACAAGGCAUCGAUGCUCGAUGAGAUUAUAGAUUAUGUCAAGUUCUUACAACUCCAAGUCAAGGUGAAUCUCAGUCUCUCAAACUUAUCUUACAGUUAUUAAAGCAAGACGCAAUUUUUUAGAAACUAAAUUAUGUUUCAUUUUAUUAUAUUGAUUGAAGAUUCUUCGUUUGCCUUAUAAUUGACAUACCAGACAAAAAGAAAAGCUGAUAUAUUAGUACAAUAUCGAUAUACCAAUUAAUCAAAUAUGGGCCUCUGCAACUAAAUUCCCUAUGCUCCCUCUCUAUUAUUUUUUUCUGGAUUGUCAUAUACUCGCAUUUUAUAAUGCAUAUUUAUUUAAAUAAUAGUGGACCGGUGUACUUGAUAAUCCUUUUUUAUUUUAAUUAUUGCGUUUUAGGUACUGAGCAUGAGCAGAUUGGGUGGUGGUGCUUCCAAUUCUCAAAUCUCUGAGGUAAUCAAUUUUAUUAUUUCUUCUCCUUUGUUUUAUAAACUCCAAUAAUUUAUAUCAAAGUUAAUGGAUAAAAUAAUGAAACCACAUCAAUUUUACCUAAAAUUGCAUUUGUUAUAUUAAGUUAUAUGCAACCUGCGCGUUACAUAUUUUUGUUUUUGUCAAAUAUAGAUAAAUCUUGCAAGAAGUUCAAGUGAAAUAGACAUAUAUAAAGAUUCCAAGACAAGUUCUAAGAUUUUAAAAUUCUAAAGAUAGAGAAAAGAGAAAGCACGCGUGCCGACUAUUAUAACUUAGGGUUUCGUUUUCUUGUCUUUAUCUUUUAUCUUUUCUUUUUUAGAAUAUUUUAUUUUUAUUUUCAGGAGAAUACAUCCUCAGCCGUCGCCGGGGGUAAUCAGGCGACCGGAAACUCCAACGACAGCUUGACGAUGACGGAGCAUCAAGUGGCGAAGCUGAUGGAAGAAGACAUGGGCUCGGCGAUGCAAUACCUUCAAGGGAAAGGUCUUUGUCUCAUGCCUAUCUCUUUAGCCACAGCAAUCUCAACCGCCACGUGUCACUCGCGUAAUACUUUGAUCCCUGGAGCAGCCGGUGGGGUCGGAGGUCAUCCUUCUUCUCCCAAUCUUUCCGGCAUGACCGUACAGUCAACGAAUAAGGUGACGUUAAGUGGUAACGGCGUGACUGAGGGAUCGCCGCCUCUCGUCGUUAAAGAGGCUGUUUAGGUUUCGAAGCCGUGAUAACGUCUCUUUCUUUACUUUUGGGGUUAGGCAAAGAGAUAAACAAAAAGGAAA